AAGGUCACUAAAACAAGAGGAAAAGAUGAUGAAGGAGGAGGAAUUUUAUUAAGCACAAUGGAGACAGGCUUAGGUCUUCAAAAAUACAACAGGGUAAUUUAAUGCUUAAAAAAAAUGACAGGAUGUAUCAUAUAACCCAGAACUUCUAAUCUAGGAAUCUGUCCAAAAUUUUUUCUAAAUGUUUACAAAGAUACAUGUACAAAGACAUUCAUUGCGACAGUAUUCAUACGUUUGGAAGCAACUUAAAUGCCUGGCAAUAGCGGGCUGUUGAAUAAACUAUCCAUACUAUUGACUCCUGGACCACCAUGAAAAAUAAGGUAUAUCUCUAUGUACGGAAUGAAAAGUUUUACAAGACAUAUUAUAUUCAAAAAAGCAAGUGGCAGAACACUACAUGCAGUUUACUAUGUAUAAAAUUUAUUUUCAAAAUCGAGAGUAUUUAAGUAUCUAUAUGUGCUAUGGACUGUUAAUAGCAAUUACCUCUGGGCAGGAAAAAAGGAAUAGAGGAGAUAUAAAGAAAGUAUCAUCAUGUUUUAUUUUAUUCUACAUACAUACUUCCUGAAACUUGUACAGUGAGAAUAAGUGCAUGUAUUACUUACAUAUGAUUUUUAAAACUUUUUAAAAAUUCAUAAAAAAUCGCAAUAGCUACAAAGUAGGCAGCUGUUCACGUUAAAUAAUGAAGGUUAAGAGGAAAGAAUUUAUGAGCAAGUAGGCGUUCUUAAAGUAAGAAUAGUAGUAUUUUGGAUUCAGAAAAACACAUUCUUCUGAAGUGCUCAAAGUAUAUCCGUUGAGUCUGUUUUCAAUUCUGUAUGCUAAGGAUGUAAAGCAACAGCAAUUGAUUUUUUUAAAUUGCUAGCUCUAUGAUGUAUUGCAUGGCUUUUCUCCCUCAACAGCUUGUUCACGGAGUUGUUUUGCUAAGAUUCAUAUGACAGUUUACUUUGCAACUCUGAGCACACACCUAUGGCAAUGAAGGGGACUGGGCUCUGUGCUGAAUGAUGGAAGAAUAGAGUCUAUUAUGAAGGACACGGUGAUAGCCACAAAAGCACCCUGGUGAGUUCCGGUUAUGUUGCACCAGGAAAAUGUGGAUGUAGGGUUGAUUCCACACAUACUCAAGAUUAGAAUCCUUCAAUUCUUUUUCAUCAGUUAUGACAGCCAGAUGGCUUAGCAUGGAGAUGUGAAGCCUAAGGCAUGAAAAAACUUGAGAAGAGCAAAGGGCCAAGGUUUAAUGAAGAGCUAAGGGCUCCACCAGGGAAUGCUGCCUAUAGAAAAUUACACUCUAAAUUUGACUGGACUCACUAGUCAAAUUUAUAGAGAUAGAAAGUAGAACAGUGGUUACCAGGGACUUGGGGGAGAAGGGAAUAGUUAUUGUUUACUGCGUACAGAUUUCACUAUAGAAUGAUCAAAGUUUCAGGGAUGGACAGUGGUGAUGGCUGUACACAAUGCAAAUGUACUUAAUGGCAGUGAAAUGUACAUUUAAAAUGGUUAAAAUGGUAAAUGUUGUUAUGUAUAUUUUAUCGAAAUAAAAAUUUUAAUCAAAAACUGUA
Molecule: long non-coding RNA, 1541 nt
Organism: Felis catus (domestic cat)
Lineage: Eukaryota; Metazoa; Chordata; Mammalia; Carnivora; Felidae
Exons: 2
Source: RefSeq, a predicted model, not a curated record